CUUUGUUGCUGCUGGCUGAAUGAUUGCUCAUUCGUUCCUCCAUGAUGGGCCGGGCCUUGGAGGACUCAGCCCAGCUGUUCUGCAUGUGCUCUUUGGUGGAAGCCCAGAAGAAGUCAUGAUGAAAAUAUCAAGGACUGUGCUGACCUCGAUAUCCGCAAGACAGUCAAAGUGCUGGAGGGUACAGAAGAAUUGUCAUCUGAAGGAAAGAACAAUACUAAUGAGUUGUCACUGUCUUGGGAUUUGCCUCAAGUCACAUGUGAGAACAGAAGAUGCUGCUGGACAAGCUGAUGCUCCACGCAGUACUUGGAAGAAGCUCAAGACGGGUUAAACAGUUACGAAGGGGCUUAAAAGAGACGCUGAUCUGGCCUUUGCUAACUGAGAGGAAAGACACAAUUCCCCUCCUCUUUCCAAGAGCAUGUGAUGUACAGCGCACACCACAGCAUCUGUCAGCAUCCUUGGGAAACUCCUACAGUUGUGGAUAGGAUGGAAUGUGCUCCCCAGACACCAGCUGGAUAUCAGCGUGGUGGAGAGCAACUUCUCCACUUCCUCCACCUGCUUCCACCAGCUGAAGCUUCCAGUACAAAGACUACUGCCACUCUGAAAUGGACCUUUGUGCUGCUACUUGUAGGACACUGUGUUUGGGUUGGUCUAAGGACACUGUCCAUCAAGAUAACACUUUGUAUGUGCACUUCAGAGCUGCAAUGAAUAGU
This is a long non-coding RNA of Gasterosteus aculeatus aculeatus (three-spined stickleback), 710 nucleotides long. The record is from Ensembl. Lineage: Eukaryota; Metazoa; Chordata; Actinopteri; Perciformes; Gasterosteidae.